Molecule: ribosomal RNA, 443 nt
Filed under: uncultured Prevotella sp.
Lineage: Bacteria; Pseudomonadati; Bacteroidota; Bacteroidia; Bacteroidales; Prevotellaceae
Description: bacterial SSU rRNA
Rfam family: Bacterial small subunit ribosomal RNA
Source: RNAcentral
GGAGGAAUAUUGGUCAAUGGGGCGAGAGCCUGAACCAGCCAAGUAGCGUGCAGGAUGACGGCCCUAUGGGUUGUAAACUGCUUUUAUAAGGGAAUAAAGUGGGGCUCGUGAGCUCUUUUGCAUGUACCUUAUGAAUAAGGACCGGCUAAUUCCGUGCCAGCAGCCGCGGUAAUACGGAAGGUCCGGGCGUUAUCCGGAUUUAUUGGGUUUAAAGGGAGCGUAGGCCGCAGGUUAAGCGUGUUGUGAAAUGUAGACGCUCAACGUCUGCACUGCAGCGCGAACUGGUUUCCUUGAGUACGCACAAAGUGGGCGGAAUUCGUGGUGUAGCGGUGAAAUGCUUAGAUAUCACGAAGAACUCCGAUUGCGAAGGCAGCUCACUGGAGCGCAACUGACGCUGAAGCUCGAAAGUGCGGGUAUCGAACAGGAUUAGAUACCCUGGUAGU